CCGGAUUGAGCAGUGUAAUGGAAUCGUAACUCCAAGCUGUUGACUGUUGUGGCAUGUCAUCUGCCUUCAAACCAAUAUUAUGUGAGCAUGCCUUGUUCCACACAGUCCUCUUAAUCUGCACUGAUUUGAUUCAACUGUGUGUAUAAAAAAUAGACCUUGUUGUUUUCCUGACUAUUUUUGUUUCAAAUUUGCUAGACUAAAUACGUGCGCAAAUAUCAAUGCUAGACUUGCCCAGAUUGUUUUAUGAUAACUGCAUACCAAUAGAUUAUGAUCUUGAGCUGUUAGUUAUUUGUUAAAGGUCGGGGCAAUCACAUCUGUAACUUACUAUGAGCACUAGCGGCUCACCGCAGGUAACCAGGCUGCAUUCUUGGCCUUAGUUACUUGCAGAAUAUGUGGUGCAGUGAUCUUAGUUAUGAGGUUGUGAGAUGUUAAACAAGAUUAGCAACAUCAGCCGUGAGUAUCGCUGCAUUUGCGAUAAAUUGGCUCUGUCAUGUAAAAUAAUACACCCUACUCUUGUAACUUUCAAUAGAAUGGAAACUAUAUAAGAACUACAUAAAGUGUUUUCAAUUCAGAGUGCUCUAAUGACAAUGUUUCUCCUAAUUCAAUCUGUGGAUAUGAAGAAGAAUAAUGAUUUAUCAGUAAAAAAAAGUUGGCAAUGCUCCUAAAAUGUAUUUGUCCCCGUUGCAACACAUGUGCAAUUACCUAGUUAAGAUGAAAAAGAGUUUAUUUCCUUUCUGUUUUGAUGUUUGCCUUCAUUACCAGAAUAAAAAGUAUUGCUUAUGUUAUUUAUUUCUUAUAGUGGGUACAAAAGCGCCUUCUCUUGACUUUCCUUUCAUACUUUUCCAGAGUUUCACAUACUUUAUAUUUCGCAGCACCUGAGAGACUGCAUCGUAGGAAAUUUCAGAAUGUUUUCAUAGCAUGAUUCAGAUUUAGUGUAGUGAUAGCCUGGAACUUCAUGUCAAAUAAGCACAGUGGAGUAUACUACCAACUCCAUUGACAUAUGUAUGCUCAUCAUUCCUUUUUGUUACCAUCAGUUGUUUCUUUUCACACGAUUGAUUUUGUUGCACUAUUGCAUCGUGGGAGUGAAAAAAAAAUAUAGGACUUGAUAAUGUGUACUCCCUUCCUUCCUAAAUGUAAGGCUUUUUAGAAAUUUUUAUAUGGACCACAUACGGAGCAAAAUGAGUGAAUCUACACUUUAAAAUACAGCUAUAUUCGUUCGUAUGUAGUCCAUAUUCGAAUCUCUAAAAAGACUUAUAUUUAGGAACGAAGGGAGUAGUAAGUUACUUCUAGUUUAACCUACUGGCUGUAAUAUUUUAUAUCGUGACAUAUUUUUCAUCAUGUGGCAGAUAUUGUUUUAUGGCAGCAUCUUCAACAACGAAGACAUGUGUUCUAAAGACUUUGGUGUGGAUGGGUGGAUCUAACGGCCAGGAAUGUGGGAUGACCCGUGAUUCAUGUCCGACGAGCAUUGGGCCUUGCUUGAUGGGGGCGGUGCUGAUUAUAGAGUAGCAUAGUGUUCUUCGAGAUAUGCUUGUAAAAUAAAAAAAUUUGUCAUUUUUGUUUUGCUCAUGCACAUGUAUUUUCUAGUGUGUUUACGUAUUUUUGUUUUGAAUGACAUGAGUAUAUAUUUUCUAUCAAAUUAUUAUUUGCUUAAAUUUUCAUGGACAAGAGAAA
This 1671-nucleotide long non-coding RNA is filed under the name Triticum aestivum (bread wheat). RNAcentral's name for it is "long non-coding RNA (TAES_LNC026296)". Lineage: Eukaryota; Viridiplantae; Streptophyta; Magnoliopsida; Poales; Poaceae. The record is from RNAcentral.